GGGGGAAUGGCGCUGCCUUACCAUGCAGUCGAACGGUAACGAUGAAAACAAUCUCUUCGGAGUGCGUUUUCAGGCGACCAGUGGCGGACGGGUGAGUAAUACAUAGGAAUCUACCCUACGGCGGGGGAUAACUCGGGGAAACUCGAACUAAUACCGCAUAUACCCUACGGGGGAAAGUUGAGGACCUCUUCGGAGGCUUGACACCGUUGGAUGAGCCUAUGCCUGAUUAGCUUGUUGGCGGGGUAAAAGCCCACCAAGGCAACGAUCAGUAGCUGUUCUGAGAGGAAGAGCAGCCACAUUGGGACUGAGACACGGCCCAGACUCCUACGGGAGGCAGCAGUGGGGAAUAUUGGACAAUGGGCGCAAGCCUGAUCCAGCAAUGCCGCGUGUGUGAAGAAGACCUGCGGGUUGUAAAGCACUUUCAACAGAGAAGAAAAUACGGUGUUAAUACCACCGGACUAUGACGUUAUCUGUACAAGAAGCACCGGCUAAUUCCGUGCCAGCAGCCGCGGUAAUACGGAAGGUGCGAGCGUUAAUCGGAAUUACUGGGCGUAAAGCGUGUGUAGGCGGUUUAGUAAGUCAGAUGUGAAAUCCCCGGGCUUAACCUGGGAACUGCGUUUGAUACUAUUAGACUAGAGUACAGUUGAGGGAAGCGGAAUUCCAGGUGUAGCGGUGAAAUGCACAGAUAUCUGGAAGAACACCAGUGGCGAAAGCGGCUUUCUGGACUGACACUGACGCUGAGACACGAAAGCGUGGGGAGCAAACAGGAUUAGAUACCCUGGUAGUCCACGCCGUAAACGAUGUCAACUAGCUGUUUGGGAUUUUGUCUCAAGUGGCGCAGCUAACGCGUUAAGUUGACCGCCUGGGGAGUACGGCCGCAAGG
Molecule: ribosomal RNA, 883 nt
Filed under: uncultured bacterium
Lineage: Bacteria
Description: bacterial SSU rRNA
Rfam family: Bacterial small subunit ribosomal RNA
Source: RNAcentral